AGGUUAGACUAACCUGCAAGGAUUGAAUCAAUUCAGGCUCAGCCUUUUUGAAUGUCUGUCCCUAGCCUUAAAGUCUAAGGACCAGUCAACUGAAGAAAAGUUUACCAGUUACAGCAAUCCAAGGCCUAGCCCAUAACUCCCCUGCCUCUGGCAACAGACAGCUGCCCUAUCCCCACACUUCUGGCAGGUCUGGUCUCCCACCUUACACUUCUCUGGUUUGUACCUGUUCUAGUGCAAGAAAGCCACCAGCUGCUGAAAGGACCAUUCCAGCCAGCAGAAGGUAUGUGAAUGCCUAUAGAAGAAGACUUAUUUCACUCAGCAGAGAUGUAGCGCUGCUGACCAAAAGAAGCUGAGAAUGUUGAUAUAGUCAAAGGUUUAUCACCAGAACUCAAAUUUUGCCAGCACAGCUUUAUACUCUAGACUAAGUCUAAUUAUGCUGUGAGAAGUAAACUGAUAAUUAUAGCAGUACAUAUCCCCUCUAUGAGCACUCUCAUUCCAGCAUAAGAGAAGGGUUUUUUUUAUUUCAGCUCAACGCCUUCCCAAGUCACUUAACAGAAAAAAUGGUAUUUUGAAUCAGUGUCCUUAUAGGGGGUCAUAGCAGAGAAAUUAUUCAUUGAAAGUCAUGCAUCAGGUAAAUGACAGUUUAAUCUCCCUUCCCCCAGGCCCUCAUCUUGCUACAGAGCUGUCUAUGAGCACAGGGGUUUCCCUACAAAGAUCAUUUAUAGGAUCAAGUUCCUGUUGUUAUGAAGGAACUUGGUUUCACAGUGGCUUGUACCAUCUAUCUGAAAAAAAACAGAGCUGAAUUAAAUGAACAAUGUGAAUUUUUCAACUCUUUCCAUUCAGAGAUCUCAAAUGCUCCUUUCAGUUGGCCUAAGUUAUUUUACUAAACAAUGGCAACAUGUCAUUCUUAGCAUAUACGCUAUUCAGCAACCAUUCUCUGCAAGUGAAUACAGAUCUCAUAAUUGUUCUCUGACUAGGUUGAUAACUGUCAGAUGGUUCGUUCAUGCAGGGUUACGUAGUAGUGUACUGAAGGGCAAGAAUAGAAGCUGUUAGCUCUGACAAUGCCAAUCAUAAAUGGAUCAGUAAUCUUAAUUGCAACCAACCAACCAACUCUGGCAAAGAAAAGCUGACCAUUAGUCUCAAUACAAAUGUCUGUAACCCACUGCUCCCAAGCAAGGUUAAAAUGCCACAUCUAGAAUUAAAUUCUAGGCUAAUCUUCCAUGAGACCUUCUCUAAUAUUUAAUCUGCAAUUAAAGACACCAGGACUACAGAGGCUAAGGUAUCAGAUGCUGGGCAGAGCAGCAGCGAAGAUUAAUAUACUGGCAAACUCCAAGGAGAACAAAUGACAGUGGGAAACUGGGAAAGGGCUGAGAGAGGGAUUGAUAUUAGCAGAUGAAGCAGAGUAUCAUUUGUACAACUGUUGAAUGGUAACAACUUCCAUUUCAAGCAAGCCAAUUCCUUUGCUUUUGUUUCAAGCUAGGUCUCUGGUUGCAGUUCAGGCUGGAUUCACCCCUGCAAAUUUCAUUUUACACCACUGAUGUAAAAUGAAGACUUAGGUGCAUCUCUUGCAACAAAAAAACCAGCAUGGGCAUGACUGGUCUGUGUGUGUGCAGGGGCUGCCUUUCUGAAAAAAAAUACAAUGGGAUGUUAAAGCAUGAAUGGAAUGACACGCGUCUACAAGGGAUUCUGUUCAUUUACCAGAAAUAAAAAGACUUGCACAGGAGCAAUACCAGGAGGCUGGAGAACGU
Molecule: long non-coding RNA, 1748 nt
Organism: Gavialis gangeticus (Gharial)
Lineage: Eukaryota; Metazoa; Chordata; Crocodylia; Gavialidae
Exons: 2
Source: RefSeq, a predicted model, not a curated record